Molecule: long non-coding RNA, 10733 nt
Filed under: Heterocephalus glaber (naked mole-rat)
Lineage: Eukaryota; Metazoa; Chordata; Mammalia; Rodentia; Bathyergidae
Description: lncRNA (ENSHGLG00000041501.1)
Source: RNAcentral
CGAGGCGCAGCUCGCGGACAGCUGUUCGCGUAAGACUCUGCUAACGGCCUUUGUGUUCCGUUCUUUUUCCUUUUUAUUUUUCAUUUUAAGUGGGGCAGCUGUAUUCAUUCUCUCCGAUCGCCCCCAUCCUUGCCUUCGGCGGGAUUCAGAAGUCAGUUUAUUUUACAGAUUUUAUCAUUACUGCAGGCGCGCGCGCGGGUUGUGUGUGUGUGGGGGGGGUUCCAUGUAAUUUAAUGUGGAACUUUUGAAACCUGCACACACGUGAACCGUAAGAGAAAGCUGCAGAGAUGCUGAGACAUUUACACACGCACGUGCACACACACUCCUCCGCGUCCGGGUCCCGGCCAGACCAUCGAAAGGUACGGCCCUUGCACCAGGGUCGUUUGGAAAUUGACAGAAAUCUCAUCAACAGGAUCAAUUUCUUAGGCAGUAAAAAAAAUAAUAACAGCCUUAAACCCGAGAGCCCUGGUGAACAGUUCCAUCAGGCCGCAGUCACAGCACGCGGAGAGACUCCCGUCGGGCGCGGUCCGCGCUCCGCCUGGCGCUCUGUGUGCGCUAAGUGUCCGAGCAGCCCCGCUGCCCCACGCCGGACUUCGCGAGCGACCUUAACGGUGGCGCAACGCAGCCUUCGGCCACCAGAGGCAACCGGCGUCAGCGGCUAGUCAAAAACUGGCGCUUUUUUCCUGCUUUCCGUGUAGAGACUAUCAACUCCAUCUGUCACAAAAUCAAGGCUAAAUCUCCCCAGAGGCGGAGGGAGCCGGGCUCCCGCGCGCUCAGAGCUGGGCUGGUUGCUCUCCCCCAAGGCCGAGGGGGUCUGGGAGGGCGGGAGUCAGAGCCGCAGCCACGGGGGUGUGUUGCUGCAGAAAGUGCCCCGUGCGUACGGAGGUGCCCAGCCUCGGGGCGCCAGGGCAGCGGGAACCCGGGCUCUGCGAGCUGCAGCGCAAAGCCGAACCUCGCAGAGCCAGGCUGAGAAAUGACAGAUGGAAAAGAUAAUGUAGUCCUUGGCCAGAGCCACCUUGAGAAUCGCUGUGCUAUAUAUACUUGCAAAAAGAAGUGUGAACACAGUUACUUCGUUUGGCUUUGGAGAGAGCUAAGUAAAGACAACAGUCAUAACAGUAACUAUCAACAACAGCGAAAAUACAUGAACAAGCUGGGAUGAAGUGUGUGUCUGGUUAAUACUUCUUAAACUGGGAGAACCAUUAGAAUAACAGAUCUUUAAUGCUGAAAAUUUAUGUCAUGAAAUGUUUUGGGAAAAGAAUUAUGAUCUUAUUGAUUGAAAAAGAUUACAAACCAUCUAAUUCUUUUUAAUGAAAUGUGUAUCCCAGGACUUUAUCAAACAUAUAAUUGGGGAGUUCACAUUCUUAUUUUUAAUCUGCUUUUGUAUUUACCUGCUCAUUUUUCACUGACUUUGGUUCAAUCUAAUCCAAGAAUUCCUUCUACAUGUGCCUGAAAAUGAGUUAUGAAUGAAACGAUUCCAUUUAACUAGGUUAAAACAGAAAACCAAAGAGUUAAUAUAAUGUAGAUUGUAGGCUUUAGUCUAUAAUAGUAUAUCAGUAGUGGUUAUCAGUUGUAACAAAUGCAGCUGGGCAUGGUGGAGCAUGCCUGUCAUCCCAGCCUUCAGGAGGCUGAGGCAGGAGAAUUGCUGACCUUGAACUCACAGCAAACCCUGUUUCAAGAAACAAAAAAUUGUUACAAAUGCAUCUCAUUAAUCAAAUACAAAAUAUACAUUAAGGAAACAGGGAGGACUAUGGGGUUAGGUUGGAAUACUCUGUACUUUCUAAUCUUUCAAUUUAGAGCUUUAUCAUUUAAAGUUUUCAGUUUUAAUAUUCCUUUUUUGCCCAUUAAAAAAUAAGGUAAAUCCAGGUGUGCUGUUUGAAACCAAAAGUUGGUCUCUCUGUGGUAUACAUCUCCCCAAGUGAUUAACUACAUAUAUUUACAUAGUCAUUUUUUGAAUUCACUUACCCACCCCAGAAAUAGUUGAGUGUCCACCUUGGGUCAAGCCUUCUGUCGCGCUUUGUUUUGAGCAGGAAAGUUUGCGAUAGGUAACUUUUUAUCAUAAGCUUUUACUUCAUGCGUAGACAUACAUUUAUUUACCAAAGCCAUUAACACAUUCUUUUCGGCUUCUGAUUUGUUUAAAUAAUUUAAAUUUAUUUAUUUCCGGAGGUCUUGUGUACAUAUAAAAAUAUAAGUGUCUUUAAAAAACAGCAGUAUAGUUGACAGUGUAUUUUGGAUACUGAUCCAUGUCACUUUAUAAAGAGCUGACAUAUUACUUGUUUGCUUAUCCUUUUUGGUGAGUGCACAGUAUUCCAUUUUAAUGUUUUAUAAGUGUGUUAGCUUUCCACGACAAAGUACCUGAGAAAACAGCUUAAAGGAAGGAAAGACUUAUUUUGGUUUAUGAUUUCAGUGCAUGGCUGGUUGUACCCAUUGCUUUUAGUCCUGCGGCAGGGAGGAAACAUCGUGGCAGAAUGGUAUGUCCAGGGAAAGCUCCUCGCCUCAUGAAAGCAGACAGAGAGAGAGAGAGAGAGGAAGAAGAGGAAGAUGAAGAAAGAGGAGGAAGGGGAGGAGGAGGGAGGGAGGGAGCACCAACCUGGACUGGUGGAUUUCCUCCUUCCAGUUUUGCUUCUUUGGGGCCCACCUUAUGGGAACGAUGCUGCUCAUAUUUGGAGUGGGCUCUGCCCUCGGUUUGCCGCUCGCAGUGCCCAUCAUCUUUGGAAACACCCCAGGUGCUCUCAGGCUAACCCAACCCACCGUCAGUAGGAAUCACCGUAAGUUGAUGAACCCAGUAUCUUGGCAGUGAACAUCCUGGUUUCUUUUUUAUUCUUCUAUCGUGGCAGUGAAUAUGCUAGGACAUUUGUCUUCUCAUGUGCUUUAACGCACUAAAGGAGACAUUUUUAGAAGUGGAAUUACUGAGUAGAAGAAGAGGCACAUUUUUGUAGGAGAGUGUUUGUUUGUUUGCCUCCUCAUCAAAAGGACAUGCUGUUAUCCUGCAUCUUUGGCAGUCUGAUUGGUGAAAAUUACACCUCCACCGAGCUUUAAUUUUAAUAUCUCUUAUUACAUAGAAGAGGUACAUUAUUAUUUAAAUCAUCAGAAAAUUAAUGAAGCACAGAUGUAAGCUCAAGGAGGUUAAGUGUCACAGCACCAUGUGCCUCAUAAGGAAAGGCAGCUAGGACAUGACUUCCCGAGCUUUCUCCUUUGUCACCACACCACCUUGCCAAACAUAGCAUCAGAUGCAGGACUGAGCGACACAGUGAAAGGGUUAUGUUUCCAGAAAGUUUUCCUCCAAAGAUCAGUAACUGUCAAAAAACCAAAACAAAAUGGAAAAAAUAAACCUUUUUUGUAGUACUAGGGAUUUAAUCCAGGGACAUCCCACUGAAAUACAUCCCCAACCCUUUAUUUCUGUUUUCAUUUUGAGACAGGAUCUUCCUAAGUCCCUAAAUUGCCUGGCCUGGGCUUGAACUUGCAGUCCUCCUGCCUCAGCCUCACAGAGUGCUGAGAUUACAAAUAUGUACCACAAUACCUGACUAAAAAUACUUUUUGAAAAAGGCAAAUAGAAUUCGUUACUAAAAUGACAAAUCAAUUGAUUCUGAAAAAUCCUUCCAAGUUACUUUUGAAAUCUUAGAAAUCUCUGCUAGAGAUACUUCAGAAAAAAAUUUUUUUCAAAAAAUUGUGUGUUAACCAUCAUGUAUGUUCUGUACUUCUGUUAGGAAUGAAAUUAUCCUUUUAUCGAUAGACCAUAUCUGAAACAAAACUUUGCUUUUUCACACCAACUUCUCACUCUGAAAUAUGUUUCCUCUCCAAAGCCAACUUCAGAUUUGGAGCCCUGGAUUCUUUUACGGGACCUUGGGGCCCUGUGUCUUCCCAGCAGCCUGCAGUGCAUAUGCACCAUCAUUGAUAGUGUGAGGUGUCUGGUGCAGGCUUGUCCCGGGACCCAGGUGGUCCAGCCCUGCAGCUGUCCCAUCAGUUUGCUGUUAGGAGAGGGGUUAAUUGCCCUGCUCAUCUUCUAUCUAGGAUCUAGGUUUGGGGCUAUGGGAGAGACAGAGCCACCUGGAAAGCAGAGUUUUCUUAGGGCCCUGGACAGAACAGUUUGUGACAGUGUGAUGACCACUAAACACAUCAACAACGUGAUGGAAUGAAGCAACGUUUUGGAAUAGGAGCUACAUCCUUCCUGAAUUAUGAAUUUUUUGGCUAUUAUCCUUCAUUUGUUCCACAAAUCUUGAGCAUAUGUGAGUGUGUCAGGAACUGUUCCUGGAUUCCACAGGUCCAGUCAUGAAUGCAACAAGGGAAAAUACCUGCACAUAGGGUCAUUCUAUCCAAUGGGCCACAUAACUGUCUUUUCUUGUUCUCCUGGUGAAUCUCAGAACUGCGUGAUUCCUCUUAUAAAAGUUGAGCUCAUUUUUGGAAAGCUGCAGAUGCUCUCGGGCUCAGCCUUAUCUCUUCUCCAUAAGCAAAAGAAGUGAACAGAAUUCUUUCCUGAGACCUUCCAGGCCUGGAGAAGAAAAGUCUCAAACCCUGGAGACACAUCUGGGGGAAGUACAGGUGGUGGGUGGGGGAGUGCUCCUUUGAUAGCCGUUCAGCCCCUGUUCUGCUGCAGGCUUGUUGAAAUUGCUUAAGAGGAAGAGACAGCGAGAGAGAAACAAGUGCACAUAUACGUUUUUAAAGUAGCUUGCAACCAAGACAACACCAAUUAUUUAACCACAGUAAAGCAACCAGCAGCCAAACCACGCUGAUUAUUUAACCACAUAUCCAAGUGCUGAACACAGCCAUACCAGCCACGUUAAUUUAAUGUAAAUAUCCUCCAUAACUAGCCCGGCAUGGGGCAGGAGCUGCGGCAGGAACGGCUCCUCUCCUUCCCUUGUCUCAGCUCCAGAUGUCUGGGGCUGAGAAACUGGCUGCAGUCCAACCAAUAUUUUCCUUUUUUUGUGCCCUUUUACAGUUUUGUUUCUGUAAAAACUGAGUCAUUCAUCCUCGACUGAUCUACAGUCUCACGUAUGCACGCUUGCUCAGGGAGACAUUUCCCUUAGUGAAGUCUGCUCUUUUCCGUCUAUUCCCACCUUUCUGUUCAUUUCAGUCUCCUUCCUCACCUCAGUGCUUUCCAGUGCAUUUAAUUCCUACUCUAUCAUUUGUCUUUAAUCACUGUAUGUAAGUGGUAUGCUUAGGGAAUGUUUAUUAGGAAAGCAACUUUCUUCUUUGCUAUUUGCAAUGACACAAUUCACAAUAGGUUGAAAUUUACUAUAAAAUAGUCCCUUUCACUGAGAAAUGCCCAGCCUCAGGAAUCUUAUAAGUCCAGAUAGUCAGGUGUGAAACACGCAGUCCCACUCUUGCUGGCCACAGGUAUGGGAUCCGACUUGAGGUCAGCCAAUUAUUGAUGUCUGGCAUCUGAUCUUAUUCCUCCCUUUUGGGAUCUGAACCCAAGCAAUGCAGAGACUAAAAUGAAGAGUGGCAUAGAUUGGGGACUGGCUGACAGGGUGGGCUGGAUGGCAAGACAGCAAGCUUGGCUGGAGAGAAGAAUAGCUGAGGAGGACUCUGUGGUCUCCCCAAAUCAAGAGUGAAGCCACUGGCAACUGGAGACUUCCCUGAAGGAAGGAAGGAAGUGCUCACCUCCUGUCUGUGGUUUUGUUUAAUUUCCCGUGAAGGCCGUUUGUUUCAUGGUGUAAACCCAUAAAAUUGUUGCUGUAUCUUCAUAUUAAUUGCAAGUCAGCAGAUAACAGGGCAAGAUCAGGCUUUGGUGUCAAUUAUCUCCUCAAGGCCUAGCUUUUCUCUAGACAUGGAAUCAGUUUCAGUAUGAUGCUUCUGAAUAAAAUACGCCUCUUACAUUAUGUGUAAAGAGGUCUUGUAGACGUAGUACAAGUUUAAUGGGAACUUAAACUUUUGAAAGUGAGUCGUGGAGCUGCUAUAUAUUAAAAAAAAUUUCCAUGGUGCCGUUUAUGCCAAAUCAGCUCCUGCUAUAUCUCAACAAUGGCAGAACAUGAUAUUGGUGGACAGAAACUACUGCCUUUGGGAUAUUCAGUGCUAUAUUUUUGCUUCUCCAGUUCAAACUGACCAAAGUUUUAGUGGUGGGAAAUUAGAUAUCUCUUGGGGAGGCUAAGUUUGAGAUGUUCUUUGAACACCAAGUGUGCCGUUAAUCCUAAUAUGUCAAUUUUAUUGAGAAAUGCCCAGCAGAUUAGGAGAGUGCACUCCCGGGUGUGUCUGGGCAGGUAAUAGGGGUGGGGUUGGGCCUAUUGUACACUGUCUCUUACCUGUUCCUCUCUGUAAUUGUUCCCUGCUCUCUCCCAGCUGCCUUGAACUAAGUAGCUUUGCUCCACCAUGUCCUUCCACUGUGAGCUUCCUGCCUUAAAGCCUCUCCACCUGGUACUGGAUCUGCUGAAACCAUGAGCUAAAUCAAACCUUUCUUCCAUUAAAUUGUGGGUUUGGGGUUUUGUGUGUAAAGCAAUGGGAAAACUAAUAUGGACUCUACUUUUAUAGAUAUGGAGAUCAUAUCUGAGAUUGCAAAUAUCAAAAAGCACAUUAAUAGAAGGAUGUGACCUGUCAUAUCCAGUGUUGCUAAAAGAUCAACUAAGAUGAGGAGUGAGAAGUGACUGUUGGGCAGAACAAGAUUUUGUUUAUUAGUGACCAAAAAAUAAUGAAUAAAAUAAUGAGAUAAAACCCGAUUAUAGUGAAUUGAGAGAACUGAAUUGAGGAGAGGGUCCAAAAAGUAAAGACCAACUUUUGAAGGAGUUUUCACAGAAGUGAAAAGUCCCUCACUGAGGCUUCCCCAGGAGGUGCUGUUAUCCACGUAGGGGGUGAAACAGCCACAACUUGGACCCCAGCCGCCCCUCCCAUCGACUAAUUCAAUGGGCCUAUGAGAGUUCAUUAAACUUCCUGAGACUCUGGGUUCUUAGCCUGUAGAAUGGAGUUACGAUCAGGAAUUAUUAACUGAAGAAUUGGCCUUCAGCCUAUUAUAUACAUAUUAGCUAACUUAAACCACAGAAAAAAUCAUUAUUCAUUUACAUAAUACUGUACCUAUGAGUGUACACUUGGUGCCACAGUGAGCCACAGCCAGCUUUUAAAACAAAAUGCAUAUGCUUUUGUGUACUCUUUUGGUCAUUGCUGAUCUUCUGAGCACCGGACAUAGCACUGCCUUUUACGAGCCUGAGAGCCUCCCCACCCUAUGCAGAGGUCCCUUGGCUCAGCUGAGGCAGGAAAGUCCCUGCCCUCCACCAAGUACAUCUCAGACUUGAACCAAGCUCUGCUGGGUUGUUUCACAAAUGCAGAUUCCAGGGCCUCUCUAAGAUCUACAGGAGAAUACCCUUUGGGAUGUGAGCUGGAGAAUCUUCUCUUAGCACUGUCUCCAGUUAUUUUUUCUGCAUGUUGGCAUCAGCCAAGGAAAUUUGAAUGCUUGUAGAUGUUUCUGACCAGAUGAGCGACAAGAGAUUAGCAUUUUGAGAUUAAUCUGGUAGCAGUUAUUUGGACUGUAUAUGGGAGAAAGGCAGAAGUGCUGAUUAAGACAAGGCUGCAGCUGACCAGGAUGAAGACUGUUAUGACAUCAGGAGAGCAGUGAAUAGAGAACAAAGAGCAGGUGAAAAAGAGAGUGUUUAGUUUGAAAAUGACAAUAUUGAGUCAGGCAUAGUGGCCCUAGUGACUCAGGAGAUAGAUGCAGGAGCAUCACAAGUUCAAGGCCAGCCUGGGUGCCUCUGUGCCAAAAAAACCCAGUGGGGGUUGAGGGUGCUGCUCAGUGGAAGAGCACUUGCCCAGUGUGUUCACUUCUUACCACUGCAAACCAAAACAACAACACAGAAACGUUAGCAGUGUUCACCGACUGAGUGGAAAUAAUGAAUCCAGGAGGAAGAGAAGGUGCCUCUGGGGUCUGAGGCAGGUGCUGCCCCAGGCUUGUUUCUCUGCCCUCCACAUUCCAGGUGGAGCUUUAGUAGUUACAGUCCAAGUCUCGCAUCUCCAACAUGAGCUUGCGUUUUCAUGGCUCUCAGUCUUUCCCAUCUCAGCAAAUGACAACUCUCCUUUUGAUUUCUCAGAGCAGGGCUCCAAAGUGACUCCUGACUUCUCAAUUUCUCUCACAGUCCAAUAAGCAGAUUUUCAUCUUUGCUUUCUAAAUUGGUCAUCAGUCUUUCUGUUUUCCACCUCCAGCACCACCAUGGCCUCAUCAUUGGACAGGUCCCUAACUCAGCUCUUGCUCCUUGGAGUCUAUCCAAAUCAUGACACUCUCUGUUCACCUCCCUUCAGUGGUUCUCAAGAUCACUCCAAGUGACUGGGCGUGCAGAGAGUCCUAAAGGGUCUGGCCCUAACGAUCUCCUGGACCCCAUCUCCCCUCACAGCCUGCGAGUAUCCACUGCAGGUAUUCAGCCUGCCAAGCUGUCACCCUGUGCCUUGGCUCCUGCUCUUCCCUCUAGUAUUGGUGGAUCUGAACUUCUUCCUUUUGGCUCCUCUUCUCCAUCAGGCCUUCAGGUACUCAGUUAUUCUUGUCUUGAAUGUCAGUCUCCCAGAAAUCCACAAUAUGGACAGUUAUUGUCAUUACUAUUACAAAGAAGUCCCUGUCAAAUCUUCACAGACGUCUCCAAGGACUCCACACAUGAAAUAAUACAAUCACAUAGGUAGUUGUGACUCUGCCUUGUCCUGCUUCAUGUUUUUAAUUAGUCUGAAGCUGUUGGUAUAUCAUAUGUCUAUUUUUCUAUUAUCUGUCUCCUAGAAAAAGAAGAUAUCAUACAUUUGUCUGUUUUGUUUGGUACUGGAUCCCUGAGCCUUCAGCAGAGCAUGUAUGUGAGCAGAGACCCUCACAAAAUAUUUGUUGAGUAAAUUGCAGAACUGAUUUUUGAGGCAGCAGAGCCACUGGUAAUGAACAUGGGCUUCAUAUUUUGCCUCUGCCUGCUGUUCUAUAUUUAUUCUUGUACACAUUACUUGCACCUCCUGGCUCCAAUGUGGUGAUAAUAAGAGCAAUCUGUGGCUGUUUAAAUAUGGCUGAAAGUUCUUUGCCACCCCUUCCAAGGAGAAUGAGGUCUAUGUCCCUUGUUCCCCUUUGACUCUGAGCAGGCGUUUUCUUUCUUUGAUCAGUAAAAUAUAAUGGAAGUAAGACUCCCAAGGAUGAGCAUGCAAGGUAGCCAGUUUCUGCCUUGCUUACUGGAAACUUUGGUCUUAAGUUCACAGCUGCCGUGGAAGUAGUCCAAGUACUCUGGGGCCACCAUGCUGUGAGGUUCCCAAGCUGUGUGGAGAGGUUACACAUGGGUACUCCAGCCCUUAGUUCUAACUGAGCUGGGCCUUGACCAGCCAGAGACAAUUGGCCAGGUCGCUUCCUUCUUCCAGGUCUUCCCAAACAAGGCCUCAGAUAUAGAGUAGGAAGGAGCCAGCCCUGUCUGACUCCCUGUGUUGGGUACGGUUUCCUGCUUUGGACAAUCUGUGGGUAUAGUAAAACAGCUGAAUUUUUGUGGUACUAAGUUCAAAUGAGUUAGUUUGCAGCAAGAUAAAACUGGUACCUCACUUCAAGAACUGUUCUGAGAACUAAAGGAGUUAUUAUAUAUAAAAUGCUUACAGCCACAUAGUAACUACUAAGUAAACAUAGCCUACUGUCAUGAAAGUAAAACUGAUAAGGAUAGGGAAAUGUGAGGAAUCAUUUAAUAAAAACAUUCUUCUCCUUAAAAACAUUCCACCCUUAAAACUUAAUUUGAAACUCAUUGAUUGCAUUGUACUUCCUAAAAUCAGUUUGUUUCCUUAGGUAGAAACUGUACAAUGAGUUCUCUGGUAUGAUGACUUGAAAUCAGAUGCACCAAAGCUCUAGGAGCAGCAGAGUUUGUAAUGUGUGGCUGUAGUUAGGUCCUGCUCAGUUUGUGCUCCUCCAGGCACCUAGCAGCAGUGCAACACCCGAAGUCAGGGCUGCGUGAAUGUCUGAGUCACUCACUUGAUAAAUGAACUUGUGUUCAUUGUUAUAUAAACUCUUAAAAACAUUGCUUUAUUUAGUAUUUUCUUCAUUUUUGCCUUGAAAUUUGUAGUAUUUGCUGAAAAGUUGAUUGGUAAUCUCAUAAAACUUAAAUUAAUGUUUAUGGAAUACAUGGCUAGUAUUAUUAAGAACGUACAACAUAGCAUAAACAUGGAACUCUUGCACAAUCCUUUUCUGGACUUGUGCUUUUUUGAACUGAGUUCAAAUCUAAACUAAGGAAGGCCACACAGGGUGUUAAAACAAAAAAUAUACAGUUGGAAUGCACUGAAGCCCCUCAACCAGGGAGACAGGGAUUGAAGGAGGUAAUUUUUAAGAACCUGCUUUUUAUUCUGGUCACCUGGCAAGCCAGUCUAAGAAAACAUAUUGCACAAAUGUGAGUUUCAAGCCACACACAUUGUCUAGAUAGAAAAACAACUUCCAACAUCCCAUAGUGUUUUGCAAAUUAUUUGCUGAAUAUGUCAACAUACCCCCUGAAAGAAAAGCUGUUGCCUAGUUUUUGAGCUCUUCUCACGUGAAGAGUUCUCAAAUUUUGAAAUAAGAAAAUCCUUAAAAUAAUUACUUGAUUGUAAAUCACAUAUUUAGAUGGCCCUGGAAGAUUUGGUGCGAAUCACUACACAUGGCUAGUCCUACGGUGAGCCAGCCCUGUGCAGGAUAGUCCAUAGGAAAGAAGGAAACACCAGUAGAAGCCACGGAGAAGUUAAAGAAAAAGAACGUGAGGGAAGGGAAAUAUUUAGAUGAAAGAACUGAUAAAUGCUUUAUUAAUAAAUAUUAGCUUCAUUUGAAAUUAAUAGUCUUCAAAUUUUUACAACAAGGA